ACUGAAAGCAGCAUUCAUCCAUUGCUAUAAACAUAAAUAUUUAGAAGGGAGGUUGGUACCAUGUCAGUUUAGCUAAACGAUUAGUUUAAUUCCCACUUAAGGCCUGUAACUUCCUCAGAGCCAUGGGUUUUUGAUUGGGUUUAUAGUCCCAGGCGUGAAUCCUCCCCUCGCAUACAAUCAUCAAGUGGUUGAUUAGCCCCAUAAAAGUAAACUGCCAUACUACUAUUGCAGCAGUGGACACACCUUGGCUGGCAGGUUGGGCAUAUAGUUUGUACGGUUCACAGCUGGGUAGGACAGAGAUGCCUUUUCUCCUCUCACAAUGUACAUGGCACCUUCUGAUACCCUGUGAACAUGUGAGCAGGGGGGAAACUUAGAGCUCAGUUCCAGCUUGAUCUGUCUUGCAACAAAGGUAUGUGGUGUCUUCAGCAGUAGAAUCUUAUCAUGUAGUAUUAUUGGUAGGCAGUCGGAAACUUGAAAUCUUAAAGAAAAUAAAAAGUGGCCUUUGUACAGACUUUCUAAAGAUGUGGUUAUUUAUUUAUAGAAUAUUUGUUUUUAAUUGCAAAGUAGCAUACGGCUACAGGUAACAAUUUGAGACACUUCUAAAAAA
RNAcentral lists this long non-coding RNA (607 nucleotides) under Rattus norvegicus (Norway rat). RNAcentral describes it as "long non-coding RNA NONRATT027848". The record is from RNAcentral. Lineage: Eukaryota; Metazoa; Chordata; Mammalia; Rodentia; Muridae.